AUACGGAGGAUCCGAGCGUUAUCCGGAUUUAUUGGGUUUAAAGGGUGCGCAGGCGGCCAUUUAAGUCAGCGGUUAAAUCGUGGGGCUCAACCCCAUUCUGCCGUUGAUACUGGGUGGCUUGAUUGCGGUCGAGGUUGGCGGAAUUCGUUGUGUAGCGGUGAAAUGCAUAGAUAUGACGAAGAACACCGAUUGCGUAGGCAGCUGACCAGACCGCAAAUGACGCUCAUGCACGAAAGUGCGGGGAUCGAACAGGAUUAGAUACCCUGGUAGUCCGCACAGUAAACGAUGAAUACUUGUUUUCGGCGAUAUAAUGUCGGAGGCAAAGCGAAAGCGAUAAGUAUUCCACCUGGGGAGUGCGCCGGCAACGGUGAAACUCAAAGGAAUUGGCGGGG
This 392-nucleotide ribosomal RNA is filed under the name uncultured bacterium. RNAcentral's name for it is "partial 16S ribosomal RNA". It matches the Rfam family "Bacterial small subunit ribosomal RNA", at positions 523 to 918 of the family's 1533-position model. The record is from RNAcentral.